UCCGUAGGUGAACCUGCGGAAGGAUCAUUACCGAGUGAGGGCCCUCUGGGUCCAACCUCCCACCCGUGUUUAUUUUACCUUGUUGCUUCGGCGGGCCCGCCUUAACUGGCCGCCGGGGGGCUUACGCCCCCGGGCCCGCGCCCGCCGAAGACACCCUCGAACUCUGUCUAAAGAUUGAAGUCUGAGUGAAAAUAUAAAUUAUUUAAAACUUUCAACAACGGAUCUCUUGGUUCCGGCAUCGAUGAAGAACGCAGCGAAAUGCGAUACGUAAUGUGAAUUGCAAAUUCAGUGAAUCAUCGAGUCUUUGAACGCACAUUGCGCCCCCUGGUAUUCCGGGGGGCAUGCCUGUCCGAGCGUCAUUGCUGCCCUCAAGCCCGGCUUGUGUGUUGGGCCCCGUCCCCCGAUCUCCGGGGGACGGGCCCGAAAGGCAGCGGCGGCACCGCGUCCGGUCCUCGAGCGUAUGGGGCUUUGUCACCCGCUCUGUAGGCCCGGCCGGCGCUUGCCGAUCAACCCAAAUUUUUAUCCAGGUUGACCUCGGAUCAGGUAGGGAUACCCGCUGAACUUAAGCAUAUCAAUAAGCGGAGGA
This 586-nucleotide ribosomal RNA is filed under the name Penicillium chrysogenum. RNAcentral's name for it is "eukaryotic LSU rRNA". The stretch from base 207 to 359 matches the Rfam family "5.8S ribosomal RNA". Lineage: Eukaryota; Fungi; Ascomycota; Eurotiomycetes; Eurotiales; Aspergillaceae. The record is from RNAcentral.